AUAAGAACGUCAACUGACUUGAAAAGAAGAGUGCCAGGGUUCACCCUAACACAGUGGAAUUUGCCAGUUGCACACACAAACUUUGUGGGGGACUCUGCCACCCUGACAUUAGACUGGGUCCCAUAGUCUGUACAGCAGUUACACGAGGAAGAAAACGAUCGUGGGAAGAAAUAUUUUCUGUUAUUCCAUUUCAUCAUCAUGUUGCACAUGUUUGUAAACUUAUGUGAUUUGAGAUAUAUGUAAAAAUGUGAAACGCUGUGAAUUCUUGGAUUCUAAUGAUGGUAUAAUAUGGCCUGGAUUGUUGGGUUUUUGGUCCUUGACCAUGUCUGAUGUAAUAAACACAACAUUUCCAGGACUGGAUCUUUCCCCAUCUUCAGGUGUAAUGAAGGGGACUCUGAGUCUCUGGGGCCCAUUAGAAUGAGCUAAUCUCAGUCACUGGUUCAGUGAGUGAGGUGCCCCUUUCACUACACCUGAAGACAAGGGCAGAUCCAGUUGAAGAUGACUGUAAACAUCUACCAGACUACAUGGCACAACAACCCAGAAGACAGCCAUCUUCAGACUCACCACUGUGAAAACUUCAAACACCGGUACUUGUUUGAAAUUUUUCCAUGUUAUCGACUACAAACGAUAAUAUUAAGGGCAAGAAUUCACUGGGUAGUGGAAGAAUAUUAAACUUCUUAAAUAAU
This is a non-coding RNA of Zootermopsis nevadensis, 686 nucleotides long. The record is from RefSeq and is a predicted model, not a curated record. NCBI's taxonomy places the organism in Eukaryota, Metazoa, Arthropoda, Insecta, Blattodea, Termopsidae.